GUGCUCGCUUUGGCAGCACAUAUACUAAGAUUAGAAUGAUACAGAGAAGAUUAGCAUGGCUGCUUUGCAAGGACAACACUCAAAGAAGUGGAUCACACACUU
Molecule: small nuclear RNA, 102 nt
Organism: Suncus etruscus (white-toothed pygmy shrew)
Lineage: Eukaryota; Metazoa; Chordata; Mammalia; Eulipotyphla; Soricidae
Source: RefSeq, a predicted model, not a curated record